AUGCAAAAGGCUUGCCUCCAGGUUACAACAACACAACCACACCACAAAACUACAAUCCAGACCCACAAAACUCACAACAACGCAUCAUGCGAUAACAACACAACUAAGCGCCCCAGAAAUACAAAACUUGACAACACAAAAGCCUUUUCUCCCGGUUGUAACAACACAACUACACCACAAAACCACAAUCCGGACCCACAAAACUCACAACCUUGCCUCCCAGUUGUAAGAACACAACCACACCACAAAACCACAAUCCGGACCCACAAAACUAACAACAAACAAAACCACAAUCCGGACCCACAAAACUCACAACAAUGCAUCGUUACUAUAACAACACAACUAAACGCCCCAGAAAUACAAAACUUGGCAACACAACACAAAAGCUUGCCUCUCAGUUGUAACAACACAACCACACCACAAAAACACAAUCCGGACCCACAAAACUCACAACAACGCAUUGUGACUAUAACAAAUACAAAAUUUGACAACACAACUCAUCCUCCUCCCCAAUCCCUACAUUCACACUUGGCCUCCAAAAAAAACAAUUACAGUAAUAACAAUGACAACAACAACAACAAUAAGAAUCAACACCAUCACAGGCAAGAAACAGCCAGGCACUGAGGCUGAGAGGCCAGUCAGUGCUACACUGGGCCUCCAAAAAACAAUACAGUAGCCUCUAACUUAUCCAACCUUCAUGACCACUACAACAACAACAAUAAUAAACACCUACACAGGCGAAACAAAAAAAAGACUAUUGUACUACAAUAAAAAUAUAAACCGCACUCAGCAGAAUCAGACAUUACAAUUAACAACAAACCAAAGACAACAGGGAUCUCAAGCAAUUAUCAAUCAACACAAAAAUUGAAGAAGGUAACAGACUUCAAAUACUACUACUAAUGUGAGUAUAAAGAAGGUGGAGGUCACAGCAUAAAUACAACCUAAUGUAGACUGACCAACACCACCAGACUAAGCCACAGCAACGCGUGGCCGGGCACAGCUAGUGUUUAGUAAAUUUGCUAGCACUGAGCUCAAAGA
RNAcentral lists this long non-coding RNA (1038 nucleotides) under Anolis carolinensis (green anole). RNAcentral describes it as "lncRNA (ENSACAG00000036459.1)". The record is from RNAcentral. Lineage: Eukaryota; Metazoa; Chordata; Lepidosauria; Squamata; Anolidae.